AUCUGUAUGUCCUUCCCAGUGCAGAUGCCAGUAUAUAAUCACUGGCAGCAUAUGUUCAAUGACAUGAUAAACAUGCUCAAUGUGGGCUUCAGUGCAGCUGUAUAGUGAUAUGCCAUAUCUCCGGGAAAUAUGAGGUACAGCUAAUAUCACCAGUACACAGUCGCAAUAGGUAAACAGAUGCACAACCCAUUGAAGAUGCUGGACCAAGACUAAUGAUAUUCAGGAACUACCAGUCAAAUGUCCUUGUGAACUACAUUUCCCUUUGUAGAAAGUACCACUGUAGCAGAUCAAUCUUGUGAACUAGUUGUAAUCACUCAUAACCUUGAAAGAGGAUAUGAAUUCCAUAAUUCCAUGUAUGUUCUAAGGAUUGAAAUAUUAUUUGCAUAGAUUUUCACAUUGUUUUCCAUUCAGUUAAGUCAGAAGUUAACUAAAUUUGGUUC
Long non-coding RNA from Haliotis rubra (blacklip abalone), 440 nucleotides. RefSeq lists it as uncharacterized. Lineage: Eukaryota; Metazoa; Mollusca; Gastropoda; Lepetellida; Haliotidae. The record is from RefSeq and is a predicted model, not a curated record. The transcript is spliced from 3 exons.